Molecule: long non-coding RNA, 780 nt
Filed under: Homo sapiens (human)
Lineage: Eukaryota; Metazoa; Chordata; Mammalia; Primates; Hominidae
Description: HSALNT0333785
Source: RNAcentral
GACCGAGUCGACAGCUGCGCCGCAACAGCAGCGCGCCGGGGCCGCUCAGUACUCCCAACACGGCGCCCCACACCCCUGUGCCGCCGCCCUGCAACAUCCCCUUCCCACACGCGGCUCGCGGAAACGUACUUAUUGUGGGGAGUCACGUUUUGCAGCAUCUUGACCGCAAGGAACCGGCGCUGCCCUCAGCCGCGGAAAGUCCGGGUGGCCUCGGUUCCCCUCACCGCCCGGUCCAGCAUAACCCGCUAAGUUGGGGGGAGGCCGUUCCUCUUGGGCCUCCAGGCGACAAACCCCCUGCCUGGCCGGCACGAAAGCAGUCUCUUUGGGGCCUCUCGGAGAGCUCCGGGCAGCUUGGCGCGCUCUGCAGACGGCGGACAGCAAGAAAAUGGCGGCGGCCUCAGCUGAGGCGGGCAACUAAGGAGGGACUGACUCUUCAAAAGACGGUCCCCGAUCUCAGACACCGUCGUCAAUAUAGCCCGCUGUUGGUCUGCAGGGAUUCCCUCUUCUUGUCGGGCCGGGACGAAGGCCAUUUCCAAGCGGAUGGAGGUGGAUUGUAAUGGCGGCCCCGGACGACUCGAAGGCUCUGUAUCGGUAGGCAGAAUCCUCCAGCUCGUUCUAGAGGCUGCUCCACUCCAGCACGAAAUGGCGCCGCCGAGCCCCGCGCCAGCCCUUUAUAUAUAGGCGGGGAGGAGGAGCUUCGCCGCUCAUGCGCGCCACCCUGCUUGAGCUUUUCCCCACCCCCUCCGCGCGCGCGCGCUCGCUCACGCGGGUGAAGAAGCU